RNAcentral lists this ribosomal RNA (492 nucleotides) under uncultured bacterium. Its description in RNAcentral is "partial 16S ribosomal RNA". It matches the Rfam family "Bacterial small subunit ribosomal RNA", at positions 30 to 507 of the family's 1533-position model. The record is from RNAcentral.
AUUGAACGCUGGCGGCAUGCCUAACACAUGCAAGUCGAACGGCAGCACAGUAACUUGUUGCUGUUGCCGAUUGGCGAACGGGUGAGUAAUACGUCGGCAUCGGUCCCUUCGUUUUGGAUAGGCCUGAGGAAGCCGGACUUACUCCGCUAACGCAUACCAUAUGACAGUGAGGGCAGUGGAGCUUCUGCGCUUUCGCGAUUGCAGUAGGCGAUGUCGCAUUAGCUAGGUGGGGGGGUAAAGGCCUACCAAGGCGACGAUCAGUAGCUGGUCUGAGAGGAUGAUCAGCCACACUGGAACUGAGACACGGACCAGACUCCUACGGGAGGCAGCAGUGGGGAAUGUUGGACAAUGGGCGCAAGCCUGAUCCAGCAAUACCGCGUGUGUGAAGAAGGCCUUCGGGUUGUAAAGCCCUUUUGUUCGGAAAGAAAAGCUUGAGCCUAAUACGAAGCGGGUAUGACGGUACCGGAAGAAUAAGCACCGGCUAACUACGUG